Molecule: ribosomal RNA, 497 nt
Filed under: uncultured bacterium
Lineage: Bacteria
Description: partial 16S ribosomal RNA
Rfam family: Bacterial small subunit ribosomal RNA
Source: RNAcentral
GACGAACGCUGGCGGCGUGCCUAAUACAUGCAAGUCGAACGCUGAAGCGAGGAGCUUACUCUUCUUGGAUGAGUUGCGAACGGGUGAGUAACGCGUAGGUAACCUGCCUUGUAGCGGGGGAUAAUUAUUGGAAACGAUAGCUAAUACCGCAUAACAAUGGAUGACACAUGUCAUUUAUUUGAAAGGGGCAAUUGCUCCACUACAAGAUGGACCUGCGUUGUAUUAGCUAGUAGGUGAGGUAAUGGCGCACGUAGGCGAGGAUACGUAUCCGACCGGAGCGGGUGGGCGGCCAGCCUGGGACGGAGACAGGGCACAUAGGCAGAGGGGAGGCAGCAGGAGGGAAACGGGAGGAAGGGGUGCAACCCUGACCGAGAAACGCGGAGGGAGGGAGGAAGGAUGCCGGAUCGUAAAGCACGGUUGUAAGGCAAGAACGGGUGUGAGAGUGUAAAGUUCAGAGUGUGACGGUAGCUGACCAGAAAGGAACGGCUAACUACGUG